CCGCAUUUGUUGCUCCUGUAUGAGGAAUUCAUAUAUCAAUCCAGUCAAGUGUUAUACAUGCGGAGAAACAAUUCAGCCUUUCAUAAAUGCCAACUGGGGAGCCAUACUGGUUGCUGGGUAUGAUGAAAACUUCGGAAAUGUUUUCCAAAAAGACAUCAAUCAAUUUAAGGAAGUGAUAACAUCGAAAGUACUGCCAGCAAUGUGUAUCAAUCCACAAAAUGUCAUAACUCUGGCUGAAGACAUGAAGGGCAUUAAAGCUGAUGAAAAACUUGAUCAGGCAUUUGAUAUUCUUUCCG
Molecule: long non-coding RNA, 296 nt
Organism: Dreissena polymorpha
Lineage: Eukaryota; Metazoa; Mollusca; Bivalvia; Myida; Dreissenidae
Exons: 3
Source: RefSeq, a predicted model, not a curated record